This 253-nucleotide ribosomal RNA is filed under the name uncultured bacterium. RNAcentral's name for it is "partial 16S ribosomal RNA". It matches the Rfam family "Bacterial small subunit ribosomal RNA", at positions 524 to 776 of the family's 1533-position model. The record is from RNAcentral.
UACAGAGGUCUCAAGCGUUGUUCGGAUUCAUUGGGCGUAAAGGGUGUGUAGGUGGCGCCGUAAGUCGGGUGUGAAAUUUCGGAGCUUAACUCCGAAACUGCAUUCGAUACUGCGGUGCUUGAGGACUGGAGAGGAGACUGGAAUUCAUGGUGUAGCAGUGAAAUGCGUAGAGAUCAUGAGGAAGACCAGUGGCGAAGGCGGGUCACUGGGCUGACCUUGACGCUGAGGCGCGAAGGCGUGGGGAGCGAACGGG